GCGCCUGUAGCUCAGCUGGUUAGAGCAGUCGACUCAUAAUCGAUUGGUCGCGGGUUCGAGUCCUGCCGGGCGCA
Molecule: transfer RNA, 74 nt
Filed under: Actinomycetaceae bacterium
Lineage: Bacteria; Bacillati; Actinomycetota; Actinomycetes; Actinomycetales; Actinomycetaceae
Description: tRNA-Ile
Rfam family: tRNA
About the family: Transfer RNA (tRNA) molecules are approximately 80 nucleotides in length.
Source: RNAcentral